This is a long non-coding RNA of Triticum aestivum (bread wheat), 868 nucleotides long. RefSeq lists it as uncharacterized. The transcript is spliced from 2 exons. The record is from RefSeq and is a predicted model, not a curated record. NCBI's taxonomy places the organism in Eukaryota, Viridiplantae, Streptophyta, Magnoliopsida, Poales, Poaceae.
GUCUCUCCCACACUCCCAUCCCGCCCGGCCUCCCCCUCCUACCCUGCCUUCUUCCCCGGCGCCGUCCUGGACCUCCGCCGCCGCCACCGCGUGGAUCCAACGACCUGCCCCUGGUACGCGCCGCCGCCUGUGCCCAACGCCGUUGAGACCCACGCACCCCAGCGCUCCACCGGAGACGACACACCCUACCACCGUCGGGAUCCCCCGCACUGUCCGGCGCGCAGGAGUUGCACCCCCGCGCGCCGUCGGGAAUCCCGCACCCCCGCCGCCGUCGGGGUCUUCGUUCCCCUGCUCCACCAUCGCCGGACCUUUGGAUCCACGCACGCCGCCGAAACCCCGCACCCCGCGCGCUGCCGGGACACAACAUCUCCACGUGCCGCCGCUGAACACCUGCAUCCCUGCGUGUUGCCGCCGUCCUCCGCCAGAGAUGCCCUUGCAUCUCCCGCACCCCUGCACGUCGCCCUCCACCUCAUCCUGCUGGGGACCGUCAACUAUGGUGCCUCCUCCCGAUGGGGCUCCACUGCCACAGCACCAGGGGCAGUCCCACUUCGCCUGAGCCAUCGGUCCACCUUGAACAGGAUGAGUGGCCGUCAGAUCCCCUGAUUCAGCCGAGAACGGCUUCAACUACGACAGGAUGCAAAAAAGAUCCACAUGCCAUGAGCUGAUUUGUUUAGAAUUUUGUUAGAUUCACUAGCAAUCAUUUUCUAGCAAAUUACGGACGUACAGACUGAAUUUUGAGUUGCAAUUCAACAACGGCUUAUGCUUUUUUCAGAGAAGAAGAAAACUAUGGAAGUUCAUAUACUGAUCCUGAGAGAGUUCAAAUGUGGUUGCUUGUGGCAUAAUAAAAUUUUGGAUCUUUGCAACUUCA